CGACCGGGUGAGUAACACGUGACUAACCUACCUUCAAGUGGGGGGAUAACCUCGGGAAACCGGGGCUAAUACCGCAUAAUAUCUUUGGGAUGGAAAUGCUGAAGAUCAAAGGAGCAAUUCGCUGGAAGAGGGGGUCGCGGCUGAUUAGCUAGUUGGCGGGGUAAUGGCCCACCAAGGCUUUGAUCGGUAGCCGGCCUGAGAGGGCGCACGGCCACACUGGAACUGAAACACGGUCCAG
This 238-nucleotide ribosomal RNA is filed under the name uncultured bacterium. RNAcentral's name for it is "partial 16S ribosomal RNA". It matches the Rfam family "Bacterial small subunit ribosomal RNA", at positions 99 to 334 of the family's 1533-position model. The record is from RNAcentral.